CCUACGGGAGGCAGCAGUGGGGAAUCUUGGACAAUGGGCGCAAGCCUGAUCCAGCCAUGCCGCGUGAGUGAUGAAGGCCCUAGGGUCGUAAAGCUCUUUCGCCAGGGAUGAUAAUGACAGUACCUGGUAAAGAAACCCCGGCUAACUCCGUGCCAGCAGCCGCGGUAAUACGGAGGGGGUUAGCGUUGUUCGGAAUUACUGGGCGUAAAGCGCGCGUAGGCGGAUUAGUUAGUCAGAGGUGAAAUCCCGGGGCUCAACCCCGGAACUGCCUUUGAUACUGCUAGUCUUGAGUUCGAGAGAGGUGAGUGGAAUUCCGAGUGUAGAGGUGAAAUUCGUAGAUAUUCGGAGGAACACCAGUGGCGAAGGCGGCUCACUGGCUCGAUACUGACGCUGAGGUGCGGGAGGC
RNAcentral lists this ribosomal RNA (406 nucleotides) under uncultured Alphaproteobacteria bacterium. RNAcentral's name for it is "bacterial SSU rRNA". It matches the Rfam family "Bacterial small subunit ribosomal RNA", at positions 338 to 761 of the family's 1533-position model. The record is from RNAcentral. Lineage: Bacteria; Pseudomonadati; Pseudomonadota; Alphaproteobacteria.